GCCCAAGAGUUUUAGAAUCACUAACAUCUCCCUGUAAUAACUUUUUUUUUCUUUGAUAGAUGAGCAUGUGUACUGGACAGCUUGUGGCCAUACAGUCAUGAAAGGGAGCUGGCGGGUUUCUCUCAGAGCCACCUGAGCAGCCCUGAACAAGCAUUAUAGCUGAUGCUGCCACAGGUCCUAAUUAUCUCAACCAAUCACACCCCAACGGGAAUGCAGUGUAGCCAACAUCUCAUGGUCCCCACUGUAUAGAUGAGGAAACUGAGCUAUUGAGUGUUUAAGUAAACUAAGAUCACACAACAAGCACACAGCAGACCCCAGGUUCCAAUGAAGGAAAUCCAAUCCCCUUAGAAUCCAUCUAUUUCUACUGAAGUGGGUGCAAGCACAGACUGACUGCUCAAUUCCGGCAAAACAAACCAAGGAUAACAUAGUGGGAUGGUUCUAUUGUAUUUAGUGUCUCCAAAACCUAACACAAGCCCACCACUGAUAUUCAUAAUACAUCAAAGAAAUCAUACCCUCUACAUGGUCUUAGUUUCCAGGAAGAGUUACUGCCUCUUCCACUUGAAAGACUCAUUUAUUAACCAAGAAGAAGCUGUAAUGUGGGGAACACUUAACCCAACGCUAUGAAGCUUUGUUAAACUAGACUCUCUUAUAGAAUCAAACAUCAAAAUCAAAAAAGUAUGAAAGUGAUUUUAUGAUUUAAAUCCUUGUUCUCAAAAAACAUUUCUCUCGUCCUCUCUUCCCCUCCUCUCCUCCAGGGCACUGAGGCCCUGGGAAGUUCAGUCAUUUGUCAAAGAUGUACAAGUAAAUCCAGGAUUCAGAAUUUCUGCAUAUCAGGACAGGAGGGUGGUUUGAAGUUUAGCUUUGUACCAACUAGAAGGUAAUGUUUGCUAAGCAGAUCAAUUGGGUAAACACACUUGCAGUGGAAUAUUUAAGCUAGUCAAGAGAAUAAAUUGCUUCCAAGCAUGCAUUCACAUGCAAAUGAUUGACAGACUAAUUAUAAGUCAUUCUUAUCUCUUCAUGAAAACCCACUCCCCCAGGUAUGACUUGAUCAAGUCACCAUUCCUGAUACAUGAAACAGCAUUACUAUCUGAGGAAAACCAACUUUCUUAAUUCAGAUUUUUCAUCAGUUCAGAUAGACAUAUGGCCCUCCUACCCCCAAACCUACAUUAAAUAUUUCACCAAGAAACAACUAUUAAGUGCCUCCUGCAUGUUGGGGCCUGUGUUAGGCACUGGCAGCCCAAAGAUGGAGAAGAUAUGAUUCUUAUUUAGAAAAGGUGUGUAUAAGUUUCAUUUUGUUCUUCCUUCUCAAGAGGUCCCAAGCUUUCCAUUCAUGAAUGUUUAAGACCAUAUGGACAGCACGGGGGUGGAGAGAGAGGAUUAAAGAAUCAUCAGAUGAUACCUCAUUUCCUCUGAAUAACAUGAUUCCAGGUUCAUCUGAUUAUAUAGACCAAAUAGAUUUGUCAACCACCAUGUAUUAGCACUAUCACACAUUAAAAUCUGUAUCUAGAUUAAAAAAGGAUUUCAAACAGCAUACAUAUAGAUGCCCAUGUCUGAAAUCUGAGUUCUCUAACAUAAUUUGUAUUGAAAUGAAACCACCGGUGUUAUCAAAUUGAAUGUAAAUGUAUACGUGCAGAUAUUCUUAAAGCUUUUAUUGACAAACUUCAUUGUGUUCUUUUAUCUCUUAUAGGAGAUAGAAAAAUUUCCAAACAACUUUUCUUUUUAGAAAGGCACUAGCUGCUCUGGUGGUAUGUUUUAUCUAGAGGUAAUGCAAAAAAAAAAGCAUAUGAAAAAAAUUGUUUUUUAAUUUCCAUUAUUGAUAUUGCAAUGAAAUAUGAAAUAGACCCAGUAGCUUUUGUUGUUUUCUCUUGCUGCUCCCUGAGAAGGAGGGGCCUGAUUUUGAAAGAUAGCAGUGUCUCUUCCAAUCCACAUCUUUGGGGGCUGAGUGAUCUUGUGCCAGGGGUAUCCACCUCUCUGAAUGCAUAGCCUUUUAAGCACCACACUUAGUUUGAUGGUAUCCAUUCUGAAUAGGAAUCCUUUUUAGCAGAUAAUCUAUUUAUGCAUACUAUGUUGAUCAGCAUAUAUUGAUAACUUCUAACCGUUUGGUUGUUUAGCCUGGAUGUCAAUCCUGGGUCCUUUCUUCUCUCUCUGCCUAUCAGGUCUCCCUCAGCAUACAUCCAGAAUCCAACCACUUCUUACCUUCACCUACACAGCCUAGUGCAAGCCCCGUCAUCUUUCAUCAGCAUUUUCCAAUAGCCUUCCUUUUUUUUUUUUUUUUUUUCCUUUUUCUUUUUAGGGCCACACAUGGAGAUUCCCAGGCUAGGGGUCUAAUUGGACUACAGCUGCCAGCCUACACCACAGCAGAGCAGAAUCUGAGCCGCAUCUGCAACCUACACCACAGCUCACAGCAACACUGGAUCCUUAACCUGCUGAGCGAGGCCAGGGAUAGAACCCACAAUCUCAUGGUUCCUAGUCGGAUUCAUUUCCAUUGAGCCAUGACAGGAACUCCACCAAAAGCUCUCUGCUUCUUCCCUUGCCUCCUUGGAACCUCUCCUGAUCCUUUAGAAUUGUAAGACAUGUCAAACGCUGCCAUGGUUUUACCUCUAAGGCCAAAUCACAUAGCCUACGGAGAUCUUCCUGAUUUGACUCACCUGGCUGGCCUGUGUCCCACUGCUUGCCCUCUUGUUUUUGAUGCCUCCUGCUAUUUGUCAAACAGGUCAAGUCUGCCUCUUUCUUGAGGCCUUUGCAUCCAACGUGCCUUCUGUCAGGAGUGCUCUUCCUCCGGACAUCACCACAGCUGCUGCUUCACUCCCAUCAUGUCUUUGCUCAGAUGUCAUCUCACGGGAGCCCUCCUUAGCAUCACACUGAAAAUUGCUGCCCCCCUCCACCCCCACCAAGGCCCUCCGUUUCCUGCUUCCUGCUUGAUUUUUUUCCAUGGUACUUUUCACUGACAGCCUAUCUAUGCACCUUAAUUAUUUUGAUUUUUCACACAUAUACACACCAUUGCAUAAGCAAAACAAGAGGAGGGGUGUUUCUCUUUUGUUCACUGCAGUGUUCUCAGCCACUAGAAGCAUGCCUAGUACAUCAUAGGUACUUAUUAGCAGCCUGUGUAAGGAAUUUACUUUCGAAUGAGGGGCAUUGUUACCAACCCUUACCAACCCUUUAGGUCCUACCUGUACCUCAAGAUGUAGCUCAGGGUCUGUGCAGGUGUGAGGAAGCACGUCUAGUUUGCAAUCAAAGGGAUGCUAUUGAGUUUGUUUUGCUUUGCUUUGUUUCCACAUUUGUAAAAGAAGGACAUGAGUUUAUUAAUUUUAGAAAUAGAACUAAAUGACUUCACAGUGUGAUUUUGAACCCAUGACGGCCUUUUACAGAUUGUCUGUCUCCCUAUCAUGAGUGGACCAGGCAGGUCCUGCCACUUCUUGCUCUACCAGCCUGACCGUCUCAAAUACUACUAAUGAAUUUCAGAGAAAAAUCUGUGAGUGGCUCACUCCCUGAGACUGAGAUGAUGGUGAAUUACUGCAGGGUCAAUGGGAUACCAGGACUCUGUGCACUUAAUAUAUGCUGUUAGAUACUUAAGGCAUGUUGGCUACUCAAUACUUGCUUUAUUUUGCAUUUCCAAGCUAUUUUAUCUAUUUGUGAUGGCCAAAUGUUUAGCUGAUAAAUGAGGGAAGUUUCUCUGUGCCCUUUUGUAUGCAAUAGUAAGUGUUUUAUAUUUUUCAGGAGUUUUGCAAGACUUUUUCUUAAUAGCUUCCUUAAAUAGCAACUAGUGUACUAGUUCAGGGUAUUAUACUUACUAGUCAACAGGUAAAUAUCAAAGGCAUUGAUGAACUAAAAUUCCACAUUUUUUUUGUAAAAGGAAAUUAAGAUUAAGGUGAAUAUACAUUUCUAUCUCAGACUCAGAAAUGGCCUCACCCAAGGAUGGCAUUUGCUCAUGUCCCAGUUUGUGUUGUACGUGAAUCAUUCAUAGUCAAGUUCACACGUACCACUGUUACUCCUUCCCCAUAAUUUUUGUCCUUACCUGCAACUUCAGUGACAGCCAGUUAUGACCCAAAGUGUAAAAAAAAUUUUGCAGGUCAGAAGACCUUCUCCUUAGAGAUCAAGUUUUUACUCCUGUCUUCAGCUCACUGGUGGCCUUGCAUUUUUCUCUCUGAUUUCCAGGAUUCUGGAUUCAUUUCCUUAUGCUCAUCACUGGACACAUGGACUUUCCUUCAGUAGGAACCUUGCUGCUUCUCUAGGGACUAUCGAACUAUUGUGCCUUUAAACUUUGCUCUCUGACUUGCAACCUCACUCCAACUAAGAGGAAAUGCUAAGUCACAUAAUUGCACAUUAAUAAUUAAUAAAUAACAAUUUUUUGAACCAUGUCUACUUGCCAGGAACUGUUCUAAGAUCUUCCCACGUGGUGUUGUAUUUAAUCUUCACAGCAACCUGUGAAUUUUUUUUCUUUAAUCUCUAAAAUAGCUAACAAUUCUCAUUAGCCAGUGAUGAAAUUCAUGCAAAACCUACAUAGGCACGCACACAUGGGUAUGUAUAUGUGUGGGUGGAAAAAGGUUUACUUAGACAACAGGAAAAAAAUAUUUUUAAGUAGGAAAAAUAUCAUUCAGAGAAGUUUUGAGAGAAAAAUCAAAAUAACAAUCGGCUAUAUCCUAAUUAUUAUAAACUUUGAAUAUGCUUUUAAAAUUUACUUUUUACUCUUGCCUGUGUCAGGUCACUUUUCUUAUCUCCUAACACCAUCUCCUUCAUCUUGUUUUUGACAUUUUUUUUUUCUUUGGUAUUUUAAGUGUGGUUCCUUUCAUAGCUCCUCCUGCUACUGACGCUCUGAGUGCUAAAUUUCUCCACCUGCCUCUCAGUUUCCAAGUGGCUUACCCAUUUCUUCUGCUAAACAGUUCAGGGAGCCUUGAACCUUUUUUCUCCUCUCUGUCUUUUGAGCAACUCUGAGGAAUAUCCUGCCUGUUUUUAAUUUAUAGCUUAGUGAUUCUCAAUGUGUUGGCCAUGCAUCAAAGGCAGCAGUACAGUUGGGAUGCUUGUGAAAGUUCAGAUUCCUGGAUUCCCAACCUCAAGAAAAGGUGAUGUGGUGUGUCUGACUUCACAUUUUUAUAAUAGUUUAGGGAGAUUAAUACACAAUAAAAUUUUAAGAUCUCUGUUCCAGAU
RNAcentral lists this long non-coding RNA (5145 nucleotides) under Sus scrofa (pig). Its description in RNAcentral is "lncRNA (ENSSSCG00000052483.1)". The record is from RNAcentral. Lineage: Eukaryota; Metazoa; Chordata; Mammalia; Artiodactyla; Suidae.